This 1086-nucleotide long non-coding RNA is filed under the name Ananas comosus (pineapple). RNAcentral's name for it is "long non-coding RNA (ACOM_LNC019869)". The record is from RNAcentral. Lineage: Eukaryota; Viridiplantae; Streptophyta; Magnoliopsida; Poales; Bromeliaceae.
CGAUUCGAAAGUCCGAACAUCGAAAACAAAGUGGAAGCACGGAGCCCUUCGUGCUUCCAUAAGCAUCCUAGCCGCACUAUAUAUAUAUAUAUAUAUAUAGAGUCCGGAUACUGUACUCUUAUGAAUACGAUCGCCUUCGUACUUAUAAGUUGUUUUCGAUGAUAGAACUUUCGAAUCGACGAUCCAUACCGUUAAACAUUAUCUAAAGCAUUUAAAACCUCUAGAAAUCAAAUUUUAUAAUUUUUUGAUAUCAUUUACCUUACGAUCAAAAGCUCACAAAAUUGACAAUUUUUAACGGCCGGUAUGAGAUAUUUGCUAGUUUAACGGUGAAAAAGAAUUGGAAUAGGUUGAAUUUUUGAUAGAAAAUUCUAUUCGCUACCUAAAUAAAGAUCAAUAACUCCGAUCUUAAAUUGAAGGAUCCGAUCAUCCAUUUUUAAGAUGUCGUUCGAUUUUAACUGUUCAUUUUAUACCUACUUGAUGGACUUUAUAAUGAUUUCGAAAAAUUACGAAAUUUAUUUUUUGGAAGUUUCAAAUACUCUAGAUCAUUUUUAACGGUAUGGAUCGUCAAUUCGAAAAGCCCUAAAUCGAAAACAACUUAUGAGUACGAAGGGCUCUAUACUCAUAAGAGUAUAGUAGUCCAGUCUAACUAUAUAUAUAUAUAUAUAUAUAUAUAUAUAUAUAAUUGGACUAGAUUACUAUUAGUAGCAAAAUUCCAUUGUUGCUACUAGUUUUUUAGCCUUUGGAUCAACUCUUUUCAUUAUUUCUAACCAUUGGAUUAAAUACUAUAAAAAGAGCAUUUUACUAUUAAUAGUAUUCCAGCCUAAUUCUAUAAAAUUGAGCUAGAAUACUUUUAGAAGCACCAACUUUUUAGUGUUUCUAAGUUUUUAGCUCUUAGAUCUACUCUUUGAUUAUUAAUAGCCUUUGGAUCAAACAAUAUUUCACCUACCAUCACAUACCACCGUCAUUUUAACCUCAUAUCUCUCCAUCCAAUGGCUAAAAAUUCAAAAGCACUACCCUCAUGGUGUGUUUGAGAGUAUUCUACCUCAACUCUCUCUCUCUCUCUCUCUCUCUCUCUCUCUCUCUCUC